Long non-coding RNA from Numida meleagris (helmeted guineafowl), 386 nucleotides. RefSeq lists it as uncharacterized. The transcript has 2 exons. The record is from RefSeq and is a predicted model, not a curated record. Lineage: Eukaryota; Metazoa; Chordata; Aves; Galliformes; Numididae.
UUAUCAGGAGUAGUCAGCAUGGGUUCACCAGGGGGAGGUUGUGCUCAACCAGCCUGGUAGCCUUCUAUGAUGUCAUCACUGGCUGGGUGGAUGGGGGGUGAGCAGUGGAUGUAGUCUACGUUGAUUUCAGCAAGACGUUUGACACUGUCUCCUGCAACAUCCUUAUAACAAAGCUGAGGAAGUGUGGAAGAGAUGAGUGGACGGUCUAGGAAUAAUGGCAGCUGAUCCAGAUACAUCAUAAAAUGUGCAAUACAUAACACAAAAAAUCAAGAUAAAAGCUUUCUCCAGUGGACAAAAUUCUCAGGCUAUCACUACCCUGGUGUCAGGUUAAAGUGUGUGUCAAACAUGAAACAUUGUUCAACAUAGCACACUGCAACUGAUCAGAG